Molecule: ribosomal RNA, 301 nt
Filed under: uncultured bacterium
Lineage: Bacteria
Description: partial 16S ribosomal RNA
Rfam family: Bacterial small subunit ribosomal RNA
Source: RNAcentral
CAGUCGCCGCGGGAAUACGUAGGGUGCAAGCGUUAAUAGGAAUUACUGGGCGUAAAGCGUGCGCAGGCGGUUAUAUAAGAAAGAUGUGAAAUCCCCGGGCUCAACCUGGGAACUGCAUUUGUGACUGUAUAGCUAGAGUACGGCAGAGGGGGAUGGAAUUCCGCGUGUAGCAGUGAAAUGCGUAGAUAUGCGGAGGAACACCGAUGGCGAAGGCAAUCCCCUGGGCCUGUACUGACGCUCAUGCACGAAAGCGUGGGGAGCAAACAGGAUUAGAUACCCCGGUAGUCCCUGUCUCUUAUAC